AGUGAACGCUGGCGGUAGGCCUAACACAUGCAAGUCGAACGGCAGCACAGUAAGAGCUUGCUCUUACGGGUGGCGAGUGGCGGACGGGUGAGGAAUACAUCGGAAUCUACUUUUUCGUGGGGGAUAACGUAGGGAAACUUACGCUAAUACCGCAUACGACCUACGGGUGAAAGCAGGGGAUCUUCGGACCUUGCGCGAUUGAAUGAGCCGAUGUCGGAUUAGCUAGUUGGCGGGGUAAAGGCCCACCAAGGCGACGAUCCGUAGCUGGUCUGAGAGGAUGAGCAGCCACACUGGAACUGAGACACGGUCCAGACUCCUACGGGAGGCAGCAGUGGGGAAUAUUGGACAAUGGGCGGAAGCCUGAUCCAGCCAGACCGCGUGGGUGAAGAAGGCCUUCGGGUUGGAAAGCCCUUUUGUUGGGAAAGAAAAGCAGCGGGUUAAUACCCCGCUGUUCUGACGGUACCCAAAGAAUAAGCACCGGCUAACUUCGUG
Molecule: ribosomal RNA, 492 nt
Filed under: uncultured bacterium
Lineage: Bacteria
Description: partial 16S ribosomal RNA
Rfam family: Bacterial small subunit ribosomal RNA
Source: RNAcentral